AUUGCCCCAGUAACGGCGAGUGAAGCGGCAACAGCUCAAAUUUGAAAUCUGGCCCCCAGGGCCCGAGUUGUAAUUUGCAGAGGAUGCUUUGGGCGCGGUGCCUUCCGAGUUCCCUGGAACGGGACGCCAUAGAGGGUGAGAGCCCCGUACGGUUGGACACCAAGCCUGUGUAAAGCUCCUUCGACGAGUCGAGUAGUUUGGGAAUGCUGCUCAAAAUGGGAGGUAUAUUUCUUCUAAAGCUAAAUAUUGGCCAGAGACCGAUAGCGCACAAGUAGAGUGAUCGAAAGAUGAAAAGCACUUUGAAAAGAGGGUUAAACAGCACGUGAAAUUGUUAAAAGGGAAGCGCUUGUGACCAGACUUGCGCCCGGCGGAUCACCCGGCUCUCGCGGCCGGGGCACUCCGCCGGCUCAGGCCAGCAUCAGCUCGCUGUCGGGGACAAAAGCUUCGGGAACGUGGCUCCCUCCGGGGAGUGUUAUAGCCCGUUGCACAAUACCCUUCGGUGGGCUGAGGUACGCGCUCCGCAAGGAUGCUGGCGUAAUGGUCAUCAGCGACCCGUCUUGAAACACGGACCAAGGAGUCAACCUUAUAUGCGAGUGUUCGGGUGUCAAACCCCUACGCGUAAUGAAAGUGAACGCAGGUGAGAGCUUCGGCGCAUCAUCGACCGAUCCUGAUGUUCUCGGAUGGAUUUGAGUAAGAGCAUAUAGGGUUGGACCCGAAAGAAGGUGAACUAUGCGUGUAUAGGGUGAAGCCAGAGGAAACUCUGGUGGAGGCUCGCAGCGGUUCUGACGUGCAAAUCGAUCGUCAAAUAUGCGCAUGGGGGGCGAAAGACUAAUCGAACCUUCUAGUAGCUGGGUUUCCGCCGAAGU
RNAcentral lists this ribosomal RNA (866 nucleotides) under Colletotrichum lindemuthianum. RNAcentral describes it as "LSU rRNA". It matches the Rfam family "Eukaryotic large subunit ribosomal RNA", at positions 74 to 967 of the family's 3401-position model. Lineage: Eukaryota; Fungi; Ascomycota; Sordariomycetes; Glomerellales; Glomerellaceae. The record is from RNAcentral.